Cryptotermes secundus is the source of this 1194-nucleotide long non-coding RNA. RefSeq lists it as uncharacterized. NCBI's taxonomy places the organism in Eukaryota, Metazoa, Arthropoda, Insecta, Blattodea, Kalotermitidae. The record is from RefSeq and is a predicted model, not a curated record. The transcript is spliced from 2 exons.
UGAUGUUUUAUUUUUAAGCAGUUUCUUCAUAUAACUAAACAUAAAAAAAAUGCUGAAACCAAUGGUACAUACAUGUGUUACAUAUUGAUGGCAAGGUUUGUUUUGAGGGCACCAAAAAUAAAGAUGUUGAAUAAACCUUUGCAAAGACCAAGAUACAAGCAGGGAGAAAUAGCAUGAAACAUAUAAAACAGUGCAGUGAAGCAGUGUAUACAAAUACAAGAGCGAUUACUGAAGGAUGGAGAAUGGAGGAUGCUUUAUAAAACAGUGAACUCUGGUACACCAUCAAUGGAUGAUGAACUGAACAUGGAAACUCACUUUUAUAUUGAUCUCUACUUUGAAAGCAGAACAGUAAUUCACAAUGUCAUGUACCCUGAUUCAUUCAAUAUAUAUAUGUUAAUUAAUUCCUCUUUGUUUCAUCAAGAGUAAAAAUUUCACAGUUCAAGGUUGUUCUCAUCUCUUAAUAACUUCUGUAAUUGUAUGCGGGUCAUGUGAUCAGGAGUUAACCUAAUGACAAAGACUUUCCUUUCUGAGUGAAUAUUGCAGGCAGAUGGUGGCAAAGAGUUUGGGAACUGAGCUUCAAGGCAGCCUACACCGAUGGGGAAUUCUGGGAACUUUUGGACUGCCCAUCAUAUGUCAACACUAUUGUCUUUGCCUUCUUCAAAGACAUACACAGCACUCCAUUCCACUGGCCAACUUCAGCCACUCAUCAACAGUAAAACACCAGAAAGUUUACCAAGUACCCAGGCUAUAUGUGAAAAUGAAGACUAAAAUAAGAAUGUGCAGUGCCAAGUUGUAUGAAAGAAUAUGAAAUGAGUAGUAAACGUGUAACUCAAUACAUUGGCGAGUUCUUAUAUUUUGGACAAGUAUUGUUAUUUUACUCUCAUGCCUUUGUAAAAUUUGUGGCCAAUUUGUGUAUGUCAUUUGAUGAUAAUCAUUUACGAUCAAACCAUGUAACGUGUGAUAAUAAAUAAAAAACCAAAAGGUUUCCUUAAUGCAAGUUUGUGCACCAGUUUAUCUUAUUACUGAAUCAUUAGUAUGUAUGAACAUAAUGUUACCAAUUAGCAGUUAUCAAAAAAUAUUUAUGGCACAAGACACCUUAUAUAAAUGAUAACAGAAAUGUUGCCAAAAAAAAUGAGAGAUAAAAAUGUCAUACUGAAAAUAACAACAUCCUCUUAAUACUAAUAUGUAUUUGAA